GACGAACGUUGGCGGCGUGCUUAACACAUGCAAGUCGAACGGAAAGGCCCUGCUUUUGUGGGGUGCUCGAGUGGCGAACGGGUGAGUAACACGUGAGUAACCUGCCCUUGACUUUGGGAUAACUUCAGGAAACUGGGGCUAAUACCGGAUAGGAGCUCCUGCUGCAUGGUGGGGGUUGGAAAGUUUCGGCGGUUGGGGAUGGACUCGCGGCUUAUCAGCUUGUUGGUGGGGUAGUGGCUUACCAAGGCUUUGACGGGUAGCCGGCCUGAGAGGGUGACCGGCCACAUUGGGACUGAGAUACGGCCCAGACUCCUACGGGAGGCAGCAGUGGGGAAUAUUGCACAAUGGGCGGAAGCCUGAUGCAGCAACGCCGCGUGCGGGAUGACGGCCUUCGGGUUGUAAACCGCUUUCGCCUGUGACGAAGCGUGAGUGACGGUAAUGGGUAAAGAAGCACCGGCUAACUACGUGCCAGCAGCCGCGGUGAUACGUAGGGUGCGAGCGUUGUCCGGAUUUAUUGGGCGUAAAGGGCUCGUAGGUGGUUGAUCGCGUCGGAAGUGUAAUCUUGGGGCUUAACCCUGAGCGUGCUUUCGAUACGGGUUGACUUGAGGAAGGUAGGGGAGAAUGGAAUUCCUGGUGGAGCGGUGGAAUGCGCAGAUAUCAGGAGGAACACCAGUGGCGAAGGCGGUUCUCUGGGCCUUUCCUGACGCUGAGGAGCGAAAGCGUGGGGAGCGAACAGGCUUAGAUACCCUGGUAGUCCACGCUGUAAACGGUGGGUACUAGGUGUGGGGUCCAUUCCACGGGUUCCGUGCCGUAGCUAACGCUUUAAGUACCCCGCCUGGGGAGUACGGCCGCAAGGCUAAAACUCAAAGGAAUUGACGGGGCCCCGCACAAGCGGCGGAGCAUGCGGAUUAAUUCGAUGCAACGCGUAGAACCUUACCUGGGUUUGACAUGGAUCGGGAGUGCUCAGAGAUGGGUGUGCCUCUUUUGGGGUCGGUUCACAGGUGGUGCAUGGCUGUCGUCAGCUCGUGUCGUGAGAUGUUGGGUUAAGUCCCGCAACGAGCGCAACCCUUGUUCACUGUUGCCAGCACGUUAUGGUGGGGACUCAGUGGAGACCGCCGGGGUCAACUCAGAGGAAGGUGGGGAUGACGUCAAGUCAUCAUGCCCCUUAUGUCCAGGGCUUCACGCAUGCUACAAUGGCUGGUACAGAGAGUGGCGAGCCUGUGAGGGUGAGCGAAUCUCGGAAAGCCGGUCUCAGUUCGGAUUGGGGUCUGCAACUCGACCUCAUGAAGUCGGAGUCGCUAACAAUCGCAGAUCAGCAACGCUGCGGUGAAUACGUUCCCGGGGCU
This 1346-nucleotide ribosomal RNA is filed under the name uncultured bacterium. RNAcentral describes it as "partial 16S ribosomal RNA". It matches the Rfam family "Bacterial small subunit ribosomal RNA", at positions 28 to 1381 of the family's 1533-position model. The record is from RNAcentral.